UCAGACGAUGCGUCAUGCAUAUCAAUAAGCGGAGGAAAAGGAGUAUACCUACGCUUAGGAUGUUGACGAGACUGUCGAUCUCAUCUAUACAUGACUCUGUGCAUAUCAAUAAGCGGAGGAAAAGAAACUAACAAGGAUUCCCCUAGUAACGGCGAGUGAAGCGGGAAGAGCUCAAAUUUGAAAUCUUAAAGGGUUUCCCUUUACGAAUUGUAGUUUAAAGAAGUGUUUUCUGUUGAGGUUUUGGUAAAAGUUCUUUGGAAUAGGACAUCAUAGAGGGUGAGAAUCCCGUAUUUGACCUUUACUUUCAACUUUGUGAUACACUUUCAAAGAGUCGGAUUGUUUGGGAAUGCAGUCCAAAAUGGGUGGUAAAUUUCAUCUAAAGCUAAAUAUUGGCGAGAGACCGAUAGCGAACAAGUACCGUGAGGGAAAGAUGAAAAGAACUUUGAAAAGAGAGUUAAACAGUACGUGAAAUUGUCAAAAGGGAAGCGUUUGACACCAGUGUUGUUUUUCUGAAAAUCAAUUAAAGAACUGUUUAUGCUAAGUUGUUUAGACUUUAUCAGCUAACUGUUUAGUUUUGAGCUUUUCUUUAAUGCACUUUUCAGUUAACAAGUCAACAUCAAUUUCUUUUGCUGUAAAAAAGCUUGAGGAAGGUGGCUUGAGAUUCGUCUUAAGUGUUUAUAGCCUCUUGCCUAUGCAGUCGGAGAGAUUGAGGUCUGCAGCGUAGAUCCUUCGGGGCUAAAUGCAUUUGUGCUAAGUUAUAGCAUUUUAUAGACAACUUGUUGACUAUGAUUUGUCUUGUAGCUUACUCGCUUAUGUUAUUUUACCUACGCUUAGGAUGUUGAGCGCAUGUCUCUCUCU
Molecule: ribosomal RNA, 858 nt
Filed under: uncultured Neocallimastigales
Lineage: Eukaryota; Fungi; Neocallimastigomycota; Neocallimastigomycetes; Neocallimastigales
Description: partial large subunit ribosomal RNA
Rfam family: Eukaryotic large subunit ribosomal RNA
Source: RNAcentral